RNAcentral lists this microRNA precursor (75 nucleotides) under Cochlearius cochlearius (boat-billed heron). RNAcentral's name for it is "mir-460 microRNA precursor family". It matches the Rfam family "mir-460 microRNA precursor family". RNAcentral also lists the same sequence under 1 other name. Lineage: Eukaryota; Metazoa; Chordata; Aves; Pelecaniformes; Ardeidae. The record is from Rfam by way of RNAcentral.
CUCUAUCGCGUCCUCAUUGUACAUGCUGUGUGUAUUUGCCACAUACACAGCGCAUGCAAUGUGGACAUGUUGGAG